GUAAAACGCGACCCGCAACCCUUGAGAAGCAACGCGAGAUCAAGCUAAAGGGAUUUCCAAUCACUAGGUUUUGAAUUCAGAAUGUUCGGUCGAAGCAGGUUCCUCUCGUUUCCCAUGGUAAUUGGUGCUGUCAUCAUUGGUGUUGUUUCUGGGAAAGCAAUAUUUGGGCCACCUCUUGAUGAAUACUGGAAAAAGAAGCUAGACGAAGAGGCAACCGCGAAGGAGACAGGCACUACCAG
This 239-nucleotide unclassified non-coding RNA is filed under the name Hevea brasiliensis (rubber tree). The record is from RNAcentral. Lineage: Eukaryota; Viridiplantae; Streptophyta; Magnoliopsida; Malpighiales; Euphorbiaceae.